UGCGUAGGUGGCCAUGUAAGCGCGGGGUGAAAGGCAAUAGCUUAACUAUUGUAAGCCUUGCGAACUGUGUGGCUUGAGUGCAGGAGAGGAAAGUGGAAUUCCUAGUGUAGCGGUGAAAUGCGUAGAUAUUAGGAGGAACACCAGUGGCGAAGGCGACUUUCUGGAUUGUAACUGACACUGAGGCACGAAAGCGUGGGGAGCAAACA
Molecule: ribosomal RNA, 206 nt
Filed under: uncultured Eubacteriales bacterium
Lineage: Bacteria; Bacillati; Bacillota; Clostridia; Eubacteriales
Description: uncultured Clostridiales bacterium partial 16S ribosomal RNA
Rfam family: Bacterial small subunit ribosomal RNA
Source: RNAcentral